GCUCUGGUGGUGCAGUCGGUUAGCAUAUCCAAAAUAAGCCUGUAGAAGAAAAUGCUGUGAGGAGGACUUGGGUUCAAAUCCCAACUAGAGCA
This 92-nucleotide transfer RNA is filed under the name Morchella conica CCBAS932. Its description in RNAcentral is "tRNA-Phe". It matches the Rfam family "tRNA". Rfam says of the family: Transfer RNA (tRNA) molecules are approximately 80 nucleotides in length. Their secondary structure includes four short double-helical elements and three loops (D, anti-codon, and T loops). Lineage: Eukaryota; Fungi; Ascomycota; Pezizomycetes; Pezizales; Morchellaceae. The record is from RNAcentral.